This is an RNA transcript of Dromaius novaehollandiae (emu), 1516 nucleotides long. RefSeq lists it as uncharacterized. The record is from RefSeq and is a predicted model, not a curated record. The transcript is spliced from 5 exons. NCBI's taxonomy places the organism in Eukaryota, Metazoa, Chordata, Aves, Casuariiformes, Dromaiidae.
UCUUGGGGGAAGCGGAAGGCGGUGGUUGCUUGGCAACGCCGGGCCGCGGCGACCGUUGGUCCUUUCGCAGCGUGGCCCGGGCGGCUCCGCGCUGCCCCGGCUGCGGAGGGGCUGCGCCUCCGGGGCAGGCCCGCCCGGCGGCCUCAGGCCGAGGAAACAAAGGGAACAGGAGUGGGGAAAGAAGAUAAAAAGCAGCAGCAUUGUGGAACAACUGAUUUGGUGAGAGAGGAAUGUUGCACCGUUUCAAGAACUUGAAAUAAGAAAAAGUCUGGAAUUUCUGGAGUCAUGGCUAGAGCUGACAUCAAACCAAAAUCUAUAUGUCAUGCCAAAAAAUGGUCGGAUGAGGUAGAGAACUUAUACAGAUUUCAGCAAGCUGGAUACAGAGAUGAAGUUGAAUAUAAACAAGUAAAGCAAGUUGAUACGUUACAUGGUGGACGCUGACCCUUUCCAGGGCUGUGCCUGCAUCGUUCCUUCAAUGGCCCGUCGGUCGGUGCCUGAAGACUUCUGGGCUUCAUUCUUGUGUGUGCUGGGGUGCCCCGAGGGGCAUGGUUGUGCCAAACAAAUGCAAGACGUUUUCAGGGAACAUCCAACGCUGAGAUGUGCGUAGGGAAAAGCCGCCAGUGGGCUGCGGGUGCUAGGAGAUUUCACCUAAAGCAGAUGUGAUGUUUCUUCCACUCUCUCUGGGACUGCACAGCCUGCUCUGAGAAUUCAGCAGUGAGAGGGCAGGUUUGGCUGUUGUCUGCACCUGUGUCACUACUUGAGUUGCUCAAAGGCUCCCAGCAUGGAAAUGACUCAGGACCGUUGGUGUCUUUUCCUCUCUACCCUUAUAAGGGGUGUUUUGAAGAAGGGCUCACCAGUACACACUUGUUUAAAGCCUGCCACCAAACUAAAGAGGCAUUCUGGAUGUUGCCAAGUUGCUUAUGCACUUACCAGAAGCUAAGAGGGGAUUUUUUUUUUUUGGAGGGGAAAAAAAAUUUCACAAUGAUAAAUCUUAAAAAAAAAAAAAAAAAAAAAAAAAAAAAAAAAAAGUGAUUCCUCUAAGUCGUCUUUUAUCAAAUGCUGUGACUCCUUCAGUUGAGAUUUUGGGGCAUGAAGGAGCAGACAGGAGAGCUUCUGUGAAAUGUUAAAUGAGAUAACAUAAAGGAGAGAGAAUCCACAAUCCCAUGAAACUCAGACUCCUGGCAAACCUGUAGGAGAGACAAGGUUCUAUGAGUAAGUCAAAUAACAUAUCCAUGACUCCAUAUGUUUCAGCUUCUUUAUUUGUUUUAUCUCUCAUCUGAUCUCAAAGAUUAAAACAUAAAUGUAGAAAAAGUAAAAUAAAAUAGUUUUAUGGUAGUACUUAAAGCUGCUGUCUGCAUUUUACAGGCUCUGAGGGAGGAAAUAGGUUGAGAUUGUGUACAGAUUAUGUGAGCUCGUGUCUCCCUCUGCUGACUGCUCCACAGCUACCUGAAACUUUUCCUUUAUUUCAAAUGAUAAAAAGUUCUGAUUUCCCCUCCACCUGUUGUUGUGCUAACGU